UCCAAGGGGUUGAACCCAAAGGAGUUGAUGAUUAAGCAAUUCCUAAACUAUAAACAUGCAAUCAAAUGAGUCUCGCUAACUACUCACCAAGUUCUAUAUUACGACAAGGCAUUUACAAGUUUAAUUAUGCUAAUUAAUUACCUAAAAACAAAAAAGGACUAAAUUGUAAAUAAAAUAAAAUAAAAUAAAAUAUGAAACUGUAACACCAUAUACCCGAC
This 218-nucleotide long non-coding RNA is filed under the name Gossypium raimondii (Peruvian cotton). RNAcentral's name for it is "long non-coding RNA (GRAI_LNC005713)". The record is from RNAcentral. Lineage: Eukaryota; Viridiplantae; Streptophyta; Magnoliopsida; Malvales; Malvaceae.